AUGGCUGCUGAAGUUGGGCAGCCGUUCAGUGGAUGGACGCACUCAGAUUCGCCCUACAACGACCUCUGCACACAGGACGAUUCAGUUCAGAAAAUGGUACUUGAUCAUGGUUCGGUAUCAUUUGGUAGAUUUGCAGAAGAGUCUUUGUCAUGGGAGAACAGAUCAGUAUUUGAACACAACAGACGUCAGGAGGAGAUAAGCAAACUCACACUGCCUGGUUUAGUUGCACAGAAGAAGGCAUUUUUUGAAGAAUAUUACAAGAGGAAGGCUCAGAAAGCUAAACUUCUCACCGAAGCCACAUUGGAAGAAAGGAGUGAUGGCGACACUCUGGACCAUAGCAUGCAGGAAGAUAAUUCACAUGCAGUUGUUCCCGAAGAUCCUGUGGAUACUGCUCCAAGCUCCAGUUGUCAACCAUCUACUGGAGUGAGCUCAUCGGAUGAGAAUAAACGCUAUGAACCCCAUGGGCUAGGAUACUUGACAUUCAAUCCUCUGUUUUCUCGGAUAACAGGGUCGCAAGGUAUUCAAGAUGAGGAGGCAUCUAGUACUGCUCAAAAUCAACAUGUUGAUGGUGAGUUUCGGUGCGCUACGCGCACGAGUAGUAAACAUGGUCUCAACCAGGAAACCGUGGAGAGAAAGGUUCUUGCACCAAAGCAUGUGGUUUCAACUGAUUAUGGUGAAAGUAAUGUUGCUGCGUCGAGAAUUAGCUUGCCUAUAGCAAGUUUGAAAGCUGGUGUUAAGAAACAGGAGCCAAGAAAGAGCAUAGCGGCAGCUGUCAUUAACGGGUUGACAAAGGGGGCCAAGGACCCAUCAAGUUGUCUUAUCCAAAUUCCGAGAGUACAUUUAAGAAGAAACUCAGAAAACAUGAACUCUGAAGGCUUAAAGGAUCCUUUCCACAAGAGGGUUGAGAUGAAAUUGCGUGCUUUAUCUGAUAGGAUGAGUGCUGAGAAAGCUGCUGCCUCUUCUAGAUCUUCUCCGUAUCAAAAUGCUGAUAGAGCUGCCAUUUCUUCCAGAUCUGCUUUGUGCCAGAACACUGAUAGAGUCAUUGCACCAUCUAAAUCAGCUACACAAGCUUCUCACAAGUUUUUGAAAGAAGUACAGCCUGCAGCUACCCUUCCUCGUACAAAUUUCUACAACAAGGGAUUGUCUGUUUCUCAUGUUGCCUCUAGCAACAGCAGCAAUACUGGGAAGCUGGCUACUAGAAGCUCAGUUAUGCCCAAUUCACUUCAAAAUAAUGCAAAACCCUUGCAGGCUGCUCAGGUCGCAUCGAAAAGAGGCGCAGGUCUUACCAGUACAAGCAAUGGAUCGCAGAACAAAAGGAAGCAGCUGAGCACACCAGCGGCAUCAGUUGGAAGUAGCCAGAUUAGAGGAUCUAUGCACAUAUCUGCACCCACAAGUGCAAGAAGUAGCAGCAGCGGCAUCCGACCUUACAAAGCUGCAAAGGCACCCCGGAUUUCGAACGGGAGGAACGCAGCGGUUAAGACUGAAAUGAUGCAGAAGUCCACAACAUAUGAAACCCAUUCUGUUGGAGGAAGGAAUGCUUUGUCAGAAGUUACUGUAAACGGCAACGAACAAAACAGAAAGGUAAUCUUGUCGCGUGAUGGCAAAAGGAGCAACCUGGCGUGUAAGAGCAAGCCAAGACAGGAGAGGCCGCGAUGGCGAUGA
Molecule: ribosomal RNA, 1662 nt
Filed under: Triticum aestivum (bread wheat)
Lineage: Eukaryota; Viridiplantae; Streptophyta; Magnoliopsida; Poales; Poaceae
Description: partial small subunit ribosomal RNA
Source: RNAcentral